Molecule: long non-coding RNA, 1207 nt
Filed under: Malus domestica (apple)
Lineage: Eukaryota; Viridiplantae; Streptophyta; Magnoliopsida; Rosales; Rosaceae
Description: long non-coding RNA (MDOM_LNC016306)
Source: RNAcentral
CUUGGGCUGCAUGCUAGCCUAUAUGCUCGGCUGGAGUGGAUUGGCUGGGUGCCGGGUCAAUAAUUUGACUGGGUGCCGGCCUAAAGGUUCCCCGGUGGAACUGCUCUAAACACCCUUCGCGUUCGUAGUUCUGUAGAAUUUUCAUUGUAACUCCAAAUUUAAUUCUGCUUGCGCCUACACGUUCGUACCGUUGAGUACUUCGAGAAUACGAUAAAAUAAUAGCUCAAAUAUGUCAUGAAAUGAUGGACAAAAAAAGUUAACAAUCUCACCUCUAGAGGCAUUUGGGUCAAUUCACACAUUUAAAAUUAAUACAAUUGUAAAAUUAAGGACUAGUUGUUACAAAGUAAGCUACCACAUAGGGUGGUAUAUAAGUUGUGGUUUAAGAGCAUCUCUAAUAGAGACGUAAAAAAAUAUGUGUCUAAUUUGUAUUUGAUGGCUAAGCUGAUAUUGAAAUAGCAUCUUUAAAUUUUUAUUUGCGAAUGGAAACAUCAGUUUUUUAUUUUUUAUUUUUGUUCAAAUGGGACCCAUGAAAAUAUGUUAUAUUACUUUUUAGUAGGACCCAGACCAAUAAAUAAAUAAGUUGCUUUGGAAGUGGUAGAAAAUAUUUAAAAAAACCAAAAUGAAUCAUUUGCCGCUGUUGUCUAAUUUGAUGAUAGCAGCUUGAUGUCAACUUCCAUCUCAGUUUUAACAUAUUGGUAGGAGGAAGAUAUGAUGUAAAAAACUAAUGUUAGAUUGUAGAAUUGAAGCCUCAAUUGAAAAUGAUCUAAUAAUGUUGUAAGAGUAGCAUUAUUCUUUGAUACUGACCUCAAACUUCGAUUGUGUUUUACUCUUUUGUUUUCAGACCCAUUAAACCCAUCCAAGUAAAAACAAUUCCAGCAAUAAAAACAAAAAUAUUGUUAUAGUACUCCCAAAUUUGGGUGGCAAAGAAAUGGGUGUUUUGGUGAAAAUGAAUUUUUUGGUUUUUUAAAUUUAUGAAUUAUUUAGGGUGAGUGGAGGACAAAUGAAUGAAAUCUUAGAACAUGGAUUUGACCAGAUUUUUGGGCUUGAUCGAAGAGAGCAAAUUAAUCAAUUAUAUUGGGGAAUUUGGAAAAAUAACCAAAUUUCGGACCCUAAAUAGAAUUCUAACCACCAUUUUAAAUUUUUAAUAAUUAUAACCACAAGUUGAUAUGAAAAUACUAAUACAUCCUUAAAAUAAAGUUUUCUAAAA